This 1363-nucleotide unclassified non-coding RNA is filed under the name Hevea brasiliensis (rubber tree). The record is from RNAcentral. Lineage: Eukaryota; Viridiplantae; Streptophyta; Magnoliopsida; Malpighiales; Euphorbiaceae.
AGUUGUUCCCUGUCGCAAUUAUAGAGAAGUACAACAAGAAUAGAUAUGCAGAAGAGUGGUAGUGUCUCGAGGAAUACUAACGGCACUGUUACUGGUAUCAAUCAUAGUAAAUCUCUAUUUCAUCAGCAGUCUCUCAGGAGGUUGGGAUUGUGUUCCCAAAUAACCACGGCAGGGGGACAGCACUCGUCCCCAAUUGUUUUCCCCGAGAAACGUAGCAAAAAGGUCAAAGCCUCUUCCAAACCCGAUGAUCCAUUGGAAAUAGGCAAGGUACAAGAGCAUAGAAUAGACAUAAUAGGUGGAGGAGACGAGAAGUCUGAUUUGUUGGGAUGCGUUGUCUUCUCUGGCAAACUCAUUUUGGACAAGAGAAAGACCACCUUCCGUGAUAGUAGUCAUGCCAAAGAUGCACAACAGCAAAGUUCUAUAGACGUUUCCUACCAAGAAGCUCUCGAUGCUAAGCUUACCAGCAAGGCUUUAGUUUGGGGUUCUCACAUGCUGCAUCUUGAUGAUGUUAUUUCGGUAUCAUACCAUGUUGGUCUCAGGCAUUUUACUAUUCAUUCUUAUCCGAUUAAAAAGGGUUCUUGUGGUCUAUCUUGUUUUUUAAAACCUAAAAGAAUUCGCAAGGAUUAUCGGUUCUUAGCUUCUAGUGUGGAAGAGGCACUUCAGUGGGUUGGUGGAUUAGCAGACCAGCACUGUUAUGUGAAUUGUUUGCCUCAUCCUUUGGUUUCUUCAAAGAAGCAAGCUUCUUCGGAGUUACUUCCGACUGACACUCCUCCCGAGUUACUCUUCAAGUGUAAGAGUCCACCCAAAAUGCUCGUCAUCUUAAAUCCUCGUUCAGGAAGUGGACGAUCGAGUAAAGUUUUCCAUGGCAUUGUGGAACCAAUAUUUAAGCUUGCAGGGUUUAAAUUGGAGGUAGUCAAAACAUCAUCUGCAGGUCAUGCUAGGAAGCUUGCGUCUACCGUUGACAUCAGCACAUGCCCUGAUGGGAUUAUAUGUGUAGGUGGUGAUGGAAUUAUCAAUGAGGUUUUAAAUGGCCUACUUAGUAGAGAUAACCAGAAAGAAGGAAUUUCAAUACCAAUUGGUAUUAUACCGGCUGGUUCUGAUAAUUCACUAGUUUGGACAGUUUUGGGAGUUAGAGAUCCGGUUUCUGCUGCUAUUGCUAUUGUGAAGGGGGGUCUGACCGCUACGGAUGUCUUUGCUGUUCAGUGGAUUCAGACUGGUGUUGUUCACUUUGGGUUGACCGUUUCAUACUAUGGUUUUGUUGGUGAUGUGUUGGAACUUUCUGAGAAAUAUCAGAAGCGCUUUGGUCCAUUGCGUUAUUUUGUUGCUGGAUUUCUCAAGUUCUUAUGCUUACCAAAAUACAGCU